This 422-nucleotide ribosomal RNA is filed under the name uncultured Flavitalea sp. RNAcentral's name for it is "bacterial SSU rRNA". It matches the Rfam family "Bacterial small subunit ribosomal RNA", at positions 355 to 774 of the family's 1533-position model. The record is from RNAcentral. Lineage: Bacteria; Pseudomonadati; Bacteroidota; Chitinophagia; Chitinophagales; Chitinophagaceae.
UAAGGAAUAUUGGUCAAUGGACGCAAGUCUGAACCAGCCAUGCCGCGUGGAGGAUGAAGGUCCUCUGGAUUGUAAACUUCUUUUAUUUGGGAAGAAACCCAUGUUUUCUAAUGUGGUUGACGGUACCAGAUGAAUAAGCACCGGCUAACUCCGUGCCAGCAGCCGCGGUAAUACGGAGGGUGCAAGCGUUAUCCGGAUUCACUGGGUUUAAAGGGUGCGUAGGCGGGUUGGUAAGUCCGUGGUGAAAUCUCCAAGCUUAACUUGGAAACUGCCGUGGAUACUAUCAAUCUUGAAUAUCGUGGAGGUAAGCGGAAUAUGUCAUGUAGCGGUGAAAUGCUUAGAUAUGACAUAGAACACCAAUUGCGUAGGCAGCUUACUACACGAUCAUUGACGCUGAGGCACGAAAGCGUGGGGAGCAAACA